GCGCUUCUAAAAAAGGGUUUUUAGUGUUCGUGCGCGUCUUCCAUCGGUUUAGGGAUCUAAGCAAGGGGUGCGUGCGACGGACCCCGAGGGCGGCCAGCUAGGGUGCGGCAGGGUGGCGGCGGGGCUGUGGCGGGCCCCGAUGGCGGCCAGCUAGAGCUGCGGCAUGGUGGCGGCGGGGUAUGGCGGUACGGAGAUGUCGCGGCGGGCUGCGUCGGUACGGAGAUUUGCGGCGGCACGGAGAUAUCGCGGCGAGGUGCGGCAGGACGGGGAAGUCGCGUCGGGUUGCAGCAGGACGUAGAGGUGACGGCCGGGUUGCGGAAGGACGAGAGAGAGGCCCACCGGCGGAGAGAGGUGCCGGUGUAGGUCGUGUCAACGGCGGAGGAGGGACCGGGCUGGAGGGGGUACAGGUGGUGCUUUCGUGUGCGUCGCCACCGCCGCUAAACCUAGCCCCGUCGCACGCCGACCCGUUCCCGUAGCUACGCCGACUCCAUAUUGAGGAGGGAGAGACAGAAACGUAGGGAGGAAGAUAGAGAGAGAAGACCUCCGCAUAAAACUGUCAACGACCGUCCCUUUCCUAAUGAGGCCGCCGCCCCUUGCCCCUCGAGGCCGCCACCCUUUGCUCAUCUACAAGGUCACCUGUUCCGUGGAGUACGAAAUAAUAAGAGACCAAGAGGCUAAACGACACAUGACGACGGUCGAUCAGACUAACACUCUUCGAAAUACCGUCGCUAUACUUGAUUAAAAUCUUCAACUCGACAACACACGUUUAAAACAAAUAAAGGUCACGUUUAAAACACCAUGGCUAUACUUGAUUAGAAAAAAAAGGUAACCAGUAAAUCAAGUGGAAAGUGAUUCUCAGUACAAAUGCCACAAUGAGAACAAUACGAAGACGGGUUCUAUUCAAUUAAAAACGAGAAGGUUUUUCCAAGGGGCCUAUACAAAGGACAAAACACGAAUCAGACGGUACUACACAAAUCAGACGGUGGCACAAAUCACAGAGAAACACGAACUAUUCUCCUAACAAGUUUACAUUUUUGAAAGAAAAAUGUACUCUACUGUACCGAAAACGGGGGACAAAAGCGACUGAACCAAAGACGUCCAUCGUAUCACAUAUUGACGACCAUUGUAACUCAGCAGUUCCUCUUCAUCGUCCUCCUUUUUACCUUUCGCGUUCACCUUCGCCUUUUCGAUUUCCACCACCCCCAGUACCUCCUUGUAGACUUUCGCCAUUCUCCAUGUUCAAACUACGGCGCGACUAACUACGUGUUGAAUACUUUUCUACACUGUCAUCUUAAUCACUUCGACUGACCUUCUUGGAAUAAUGAAUGACCUCUAGAAGCCAUAAACUUCGACAGUUUGAACAGGUAGUCGGAGCUUCUCUAGUUCAAAUAUAGCUCUGUUUAUGUACGUUCUUUCCCCUAUUCUUUCCCUCAAUACACGGCGUCCGUCUUCGUUGUUAAUUUAUAGAGUAUCCUUUCGACUUUUCGCGUGACUUACCUUCCUUUUUCGUAAGUUCUUCCACUAGACAAACGUGUACAUACACCUUACUUCCUCGGUUCCCCAGCACAAGCAUGAAGACAUACGUACCUGACCAGUACUUUGAGGACAACGAGUCCGUUGUUAAAGGUUUAAACUGGGCAUAAACCAGUCCGUUCCAAGCGAAAAGGAAAUUAGUACGUAUAACUAAUAUUAUCAGAAUACGAUAAAAUUGGAAACGUGACACGAAACAUGUAUAUUGAAUAUGAUACGCGUUUAUAUAACAAAGGUACAUUCUUUCACACUACUUAUUUUUAUUCAGUUUUUUAUAUAUGUUACGGAAGACUUAGACUCGUUAUAGGGGUGUUAAAAAAAAGACAUAGUGUUCUCUGGUGGUACUACUCAUAUACACAAGGUUACUCGUCUAUCACGAUCGAAUUAAAUACUUAUUACCUUUUUAUAUAACUCCGACACUUCUUCCGACGGUAGCUCUGUUUCUCGCUCGUGGGGUUCCUAAUUACGCACCGUAUCUUCCAAUAGUUUUCUUGAUACAGAAAAACAAUUAAUUAAAGGAUCUAUUCAUGUGAGCGUGUACGUAGAAACGCUGUUUUAUUUUUGAUUUGAUGAGAGAGAGAGAGAGAGAGAGAGAGAGAGAGAUUACAAUAGUUUUCAUGAUUAACACUUAAAGUAGAGAUAAAAGAGGUUUUUGAGACAAACCAUAGGGAAAGUGACAUUCAAAUAAUGAUACACUAAUCUCUUUAAUUCUACAUAUACACGUAUGACAUUCUUGUACUAGUCACCACAUGUCUAGGAUACUUCACUUUAUGGGUUGCGUCAAAUAUGAGUUGCGUCAAAUACACAUGUCUAGGACACACGUAUAAAAGCAAAAAGGAUCUAAAUAUCUUGUUAUCGUAUACGCCGUAUUCGUUUUUGACAUACACUACAUUUGAUACCAGAUUACUAAAUUCUAGCAGUAUCAAUAAGGGUUGAUUAUUAGAGUUUGUGUUUUUUCCAUGGGACACACAUACGUGUCCAGCUACUUUUACAGUGUGUUAACUAAGAUACGACAUAGUGGGUUACAUAUCGUCGAAGGAACUGAAAUAAAACAAGAGUAGCUCACCGUACCAUAAGACGGUACAAGGGGACAGAUACGUAGUAACCGGGAACCGGCCACGAAGAGGACAACUCGCGGAUCCCCCUCUAAUUUAUUCUUGUCGUCGUCUCGUUGUAGCCGCAACUUUUUCUCGUAGCCCCUCUAAUAAUACGUACCGUCUAAUUAUGUGAAGAUAUUGAUACAUUAAAGCUAUAAAUAACAUGACUUCGAGGUGAUAUUGUUGGUCACGUGAUUUAUUGUUGUUGAAAACAUUAGGUACACGUCAAGAUCCAAGACCGAAACAUCACACGUAGUAGAUCAACUUUUUACUUUACUACACUUUGAUACAAGCUAGAACGACCAAACGACGAACAGUUGGAACGAUACGACGACAGACGACUUAAGACCCACAUGCAGCUACGUUUACUUGUACCUUUGCUGAAGUCGAAGUGUAAAAAAAAUGAUUCGGAGUACUACGAUUACCAUCAACCAAAGAUAUGAGACGUUCGGAGUACUACGAUUAACUUUAUAGGAAAUAGUACAACGUCUACGAUUCGUUUACGAAAGCUACGAUGGACAAGAAUAAGUCGACGAUUGAAAAGAAUUAGUAGACUAAAGAAGAAAGUAAGUACAUCCUUACCGAUUUCCAUGCGCGCGAAAAUUUUAAAGAUCUUCCCAUGGGGAAAAGGACGGUCACUACAAGUUCGAUCUCUUACUAGAGGUUACUCUACUUCCUACUUCCGAAACUACAGUUCACGCUCUUGCUACGUUGCUAGAACGACCUUCCGACACUCCUACCCAUACAUCAACGGGUGAUGUUCCUCGGUUCCGUCUACUACAUAACGUCUUUUGUUUCGCUGUUUGAAAACGAGAGUCUGUCACUUGAUAGUACAAAGGAGAUAAAUUAAUCAAUGUAAUCAAAUAAAUAUCCUUUGAACCGACCGGUAAGCAAGUAUUGAUAACUUGAUAAAUAUACACUUUUAAUUACUUACACACACUGAUAACAAACCAAGACC
This 3585-nucleotide ribosomal RNA is filed under the name Triticum aestivum (bread wheat). Its description in RNAcentral is "partial small subunit ribosomal RNA". The record is from RNAcentral. Lineage: Eukaryota; Viridiplantae; Streptophyta; Magnoliopsida; Poales; Poaceae.